GACAGAGGGUGCGAACGUUGUUCGGAAUUACUGGGCGUAAAGCGCGUGUAGGCGGCAACGCAAGUCGGGCGUGAAAUCCCACGGCUCAACCGUGGAAGUGCACUCGAAACUGCGUAGCUAGAGUCCUGGAGAGGAAGGUAGAAUGCUUGGUGUAGAGGUGAAAUUCGUAGAUAUCAAGCGGAACACCGGUGGCGAAGGCGGCCUUCUGGACAGUGACUGACGCUGAGACGCGAAAGCGUGGGGAGCAAACAGG
Molecule: ribosomal RNA, 253 nt
Filed under: uncultured bacterium
Lineage: Bacteria
Description: partial 16S ribosomal RNA
Rfam family: Bacterial small subunit ribosomal RNA
Source: RNAcentral